UGAUUUAAUUUUGAACGAGUGGCGGACGGGUGAGUAACACGUGGGUAACCUGCCCUUAAGUGGGGGAUAACAUUUGGAAACAGAUGCUAAUACCGCAUAAAUCCAAGAACCGCAUGGUUCUUGGCUGAAAGAUGGCGUAAGCUAUCGCUUUUGGAUGGACCCGCGGCGUAUUAGCUAGUUGGUGAGGUAACGGCUCACCAAGGCAAUGAUACGUAGCCGAACUGAGAGGUUGAUCGGCCACAUUGGGACUGAGACACGGCCCAAACUCCUACGGGAGGCAGCAGUAGGGAAUCUUCCACAAUGGACGCAAGUCUGAUGGAGCAACGCCGCGUGAGUGAAGAAGGCUUUCGGGUCGUAAAACUCUGUUGUUGGAGAAGAAUGGUCGGCAGAGUAACUGUUGUCGGCGUGACGGUAUCCAACCAGAAAGCCACGGCUAACUACGUGCCAGCAGCCGCGGUAAUACGUAGGUGGCAAGCGUUAUCCGGAUUUAUUGGGCGUAAAGCGAGCGCAGGCGGUUUUUUAAGUCUGAUGUGAAAGCCCUCGGCUUAACCGAGGAAGUGCAUCGGAAACUGGGAAACUUGAGUGCAGAAGAGGACAGUGGAACUCCAUGUGUAGCGGUGAAAUGCGUAGAUAUAUGGAAGAACACCAGUGGCGAAGGCGGCUGUCUGGUCUGUAACUGACGCUGAGGCUCGAAAGCAUGGGUAGCGAACAGGAUUAGAUACCCUGGUAGUCCAUGCCGUAAACGAUGAAUGCUAGGUGUUGGAGGGUUUCCGCCCUUCAGUGCCGCAGCUAACGCAUUAAGCAUUCCGCCUGGGGAGUACGACCGCAAGGUUGAAACUCAAAGGAAUUGACGGGGGCCCGCACAAGCGGUGGAGCAUGUGGUUUAAUUCGAAGCAACGCGAAGAACCUUACCAGGUCUUGACAUCUUUUGAUCACCUGAGAGAUCAGGUUUCCCCUUCGGGGGCAAAAUGACAGGUGGUGCAUGGUUGUCGUCAGCUCGUGUCGUGAGAUGUUGGGUUAAGUCCCGCAACGAGCGCAACCCUUAUGACUAGUUGCCAGCAUUUAGUUGGGCACUCUAGUAAGACUGCCGGUGACAAACCGGAGGAAGGUGGGGAUGACGUCAAAUCAUCAUGCCCCUUAUGACCUGGGCUACACACGUGCUACAAUGGAUGGUACAACGAGUUGCGAGACCGCGAGGUCAAGCUAAUCUCUUAAAGCCAUUCUCAGUUCGGACUGUAGGCUGCAACUCGCCUACACGAAGUCGGAAUCGCUAGUAAUCGCGGAUCAGCACGCCGCGGUGAAUACGUUCCCGGGCCUUGUACACACCGCCCGUCACACCAUG
This 1342-nucleotide ribosomal RNA is filed under the name Lacticaseibacillus rhamnosus. RNAcentral describes it as "bacterial SSU rRNA". It matches the Rfam family "Bacterial small subunit ribosomal RNA", at positions 77 to 1406 of the family's 1533-position model. The record is from RNAcentral. Lineage: Bacteria; Bacillati; Bacillota; Bacilli; Lactobacillales; Lactobacillaceae.